GACGAACGCUGGCGGCGUGCUUAACACAUGCAAGUCGAACGGAAAGGCCUGCAGCUUGCUGCGGGUACUCGAGUGGCGAACGGGUGAGUAACACGUGGGUGAUCUGCCUUGCACUUCGGGAUAAGCUUGGGAGACUGGGUCUAAUACCGGAUAGGACAGCUGUUUAGUGUCAGUUGUGGAAAGUUUUUUCGGUGCAAGAUGAGCUCGCGGCCUAUCAGCUUGUUGGUGGGGUAAUGGCCUACCAAGGCGUCGACGGGUAGCCGGCCUGAGAGGGUGUACGGCCACAUUGGGACUGAGAUACGGCCCAGACUCCUACGGGAGGCAGCAGUGGGGAAUAUUGCACAAUGGGCGGAAGCCUGAUGCAGCGACGCCGCGUGGGGGAUGAAGGCCUUCGGGUUGUAAACUCCUUUCGACAGGGACGAAGCUUUUGUGACGGUACCUGUAUAAGAAGCACCGGCUAACUACGUG
This 468-nucleotide ribosomal RNA is filed under the name uncultured bacterium. RNAcentral describes it as "partial 16S ribosomal RNA". It matches the Rfam family "Bacterial small subunit ribosomal RNA", at positions 28 to 507 of the family's 1533-position model. The record is from RNAcentral.